UACGGAGGGUGCAAGCGUUAUCCGGAUUCACUGGGUUUAAAGGGUGCGUAGGUGGGCAGGUAAGUCAGUGGUGAAAUCUCCGGGCUUAACCCGGAAACUGCCAUUGAUACUAUCUGUCUUGAAUACCGUGGAGGUGAGUGGAAUAUGUCAUGUAGCGGUGAAAUGCUUAGAUAUGACAUAGAACACCAAUUGCGAAGGCAGCUCACUACGCGAAUAUUGACACUGAGGCACGAAAGCGUGGGGAUCAAACAGG
This 253-nucleotide ribosomal RNA is filed under the name uncultured bacterium. RNAcentral's name for it is "partial 16S ribosomal RNA". It matches the Rfam family "Bacterial small subunit ribosomal RNA", at positions 524 to 776 of the family's 1533-position model. The record is from RNAcentral.